RNAcentral lists this ribosomal RNA (433 nucleotides) under uncultured bacterium. Its description in RNAcentral is "partial 16S ribosomal RNA". It matches the Rfam family "Bacterial small subunit ribosomal RNA", at positions 29 to 507 of the family's 1533-position model. The record is from RNAcentral.
AACGAACGCUGGCGGCAUGCCUAACACAUGCAAGUCGAACGAGACCUUCGGGUCUAGUGGCGCACGGGUGCGUAACGCGUGGGAACCUGCCCUCAGGUUCGGAAUAACUCCCCGAAAGGGGUGCUACUACCGGAUAAUGUCUUCGGACCAAAGAUUUAUCGCCUUUGGAUGGGCCCGCGUUGGAUUAGCUAGUUGGUAGGGUAAAAGCCUACCAAGGCGACGAUCCAUAGCUGGUCUGAGAGGAUGAUCAGCCACACUGGGACUGAGACACGGCCCAGACUCCUACGGGAGGCAGCAGUGGGGAAUAUUGGACAAUGGGCGAAAGCCUGAUCCAGCAAUGCCGCGUGAGUGAUGAAGGCCUUAGGGUUGUAAAGCUCUUUUACCCGGGAUGAUAAUGACAGUACCGGGAGAAUAAGCUCCGGCUAACUCCGUG